This 253-nucleotide ribosomal RNA is filed under the name uncultured bacterium. RNAcentral's name for it is "partial 16S ribosomal RNA". It matches the Rfam family "Bacterial small subunit ribosomal RNA", at positions 524 to 776 of the family's 1533-position model. The record is from RNAcentral.
UACGAAGGGGGCUAGCGUUGCUCGGAAUUACUGGGCGUAAAGCGCACGUAGGCGGCUUUCUAAGUCGGGGGUGAAAUCCUGGAGCUCAACUCCAGAACUGCCUUCGAUACUGGCGAUCUUGAGUCCGGAAGAGGUGAGUGGAAUUCCUAGUGUAGAGGUGGAAUUCGUAGAUAUUAGGAAGAACACCAGUGGCGAAGGCGGCUCACUGGUCCGGUACUGACGCUGAGGUGCGAAAGCGUGGGGAGCAAACAGG